This 1049-nucleotide long non-coding RNA is filed under the name Marmota monax (woodchuck). The record is from RNAcentral. Lineage: Eukaryota; Metazoa; Chordata; Mammalia; Rodentia; Sciuridae.
UGAUACGUGUUGAUUAAAUUGUUCCUUCUCUUCUCUAGGGAGAAUAAAAGGAAACAGUACAGCAUGGUUGACUGGAAGCCUUCCUGCCCUUGGAUGUGUGGAGAGAAAGUGCACAUCAUGCCUGAAGGUCUCUGCGAUACUGAAGAGAAGGCAUUGGGGAACUAGGACUGUGAGAGAGCUGAGAGUUGAGGUGGUGGUUAGAGAAUGAAUAUUGGAGUUUUAAAUUUCUAGUGUGUUGACAAAAUUUAGGAUUGUUUUUGUUUGGAUCUGGGUGUAGGUGAAGAAUGGUAGAGGCAGUCAUGUACUGGUAAACCAGCUCAAAAAAAAAAAAAAAAGAAAAAGAAAGAAAGAACACUCCAAAUUGUAGCAUUUGUUGAUUCACCAUGACUGAUUUCAAGCUACCAAUAUUAUCAAUAUAAUAUCAUUAUGCAUGGGAUAUGAAAAAGCUAAGAAUAAUCAGCUCUCAGGAACUGGAAUGAGCUAGCUUCAACAGUGUGCUACUGAGUACUAUGGUAAAUACUUUAGUCAAGUCUCCCCCAAAGUGCCACGUGUUAAAGUCUUUGUUGCCAGCCUAGGGCACUGUUGGGACUUAGUGAGACAUUUUGGAGGUAGGGCCUAGUGGAAAGAAGUUAAGUCAUUGGGUGUGCUCUUAAAGGGGAUAUUGAGAUCUCAGCCUUUCCUCUUCAUUUCUUUUUGUUUCUUGACUGCCAUGAAAUGAACAAUUUUCUACUAUAUGCAUUUCUACCAUGAUGUACUACUAUCCAACCACAGGCCCAAAAGCAAUGGAGCCCACCAAGCACAGAGAAAUUCUGAAACCUUUUUAUCAAUUGUUUAUAUCAGGUAUUUUGCUACAGUGACCCAAAGCUGACUAAUAUACUGAGCAUGGGCAAAGGUCAUCAGAAUUACAAUUUUGUUUUUUGAGAUGGGGUCUUUUAUAUUGCACAGGCUGGCCUCAAACUUGCAAUCCUCUUGUCUCAGCUUCCUGAGUAGCUGGCAUUAUAAGCAUGCAUCAACAUAGCUGGCAUUGGAAUUAAAUAAGUAUGUGAAUC